CUUACCAUGCAAGUCGCACGAUGCCUUUCGGGGUGUAGUGGCGGACGGGUGAGUAUCGCGUAGGGAUUUGUCGUUGGGUGGGGGAUAACCUUGGGAAACUGGGGCUAAUACCGCAUGACGCCUGUGGGCCAAAGCUUGCAAGAGCGCCUGACGAGGAGCCUGCGUCCGAUUAGGUAGUUGGUUGGGUAAUGGCUGACCAAGCCUGCGAUCGGUAGCUGGUCUGAGAGGAUGAUCAGCCACACUGGGACUGAGACACGGCCCAGACUCCUACGGGAGGCAGCAGUGGGGAAUAUUGGACAAUGGGCGCAAGCCUGAUCCAGCAAUGCCGCGUGGAUGAAGAAGGUUUUCGGAUUGUAAAGUCCUUUCGACGGGGACGAUGAUGACGGUACCCGUAGAAGAAGCCCCGGCUAACUUCGUGCCAGCAGCCGCGGUAAUACGAAGGGGGCUAGCGUUGCUCGGAAUGACUGGGCGUAAAGGGCGCGUAGGCGGAAUGCUUUGUCGGGCGUGAAAUUCCAGGGCUUAACCUUGGGGCUGCGUUCGAGACGGGUAUUCUAGAGUUUGGAAGAGGGUCGUGGAAUUCCCAGUGUAGAGGUGAAAUUCGUAGAUAUUGGGAAGAACACCGGUGGCGAAGGCGGCGACCUGGUCCUUGACUGACGCUGAGGCGCGAAAGCGUGGGGAGCAAACAGGAUUAGAUACCCUGGUAGUCCACGCUGUAAACGAUGUGCGCUGGAUGUUGGGACACCUAGUGUUUCAGUGUCGUAGCUAACGCGGUAGCGCACGCCUGGGGAGUA
This 791-nucleotide ribosomal RNA is filed under the name Acetobacteraceae bacterium. Its description in RNAcentral is "bacterial SSU rRNA". It matches the Rfam family "Bacterial small subunit ribosomal RNA", at positions 48 to 882 of the family's 1533-position model. Lineage: Bacteria; Pseudomonadati; Pseudomonadota; Alphaproteobacteria; Acetobacterales; Acetobacteraceae. The record is from RNAcentral.